UACAGAGGUCUCAAGCGUUGUUCGGAUUCAUUGGGCGUAAAGGGUGCGUAGGUGGCGCGGUAAGUCGGAUGUGAAAUCUCGGAGCUUAACUCCGAAACUGCAUUCGAUACUGCCGUGCUUGAGGACUGGAGAGGAGACUGGAAUUUACGGUGUAGCGGUGAAAUGCGUAGAUAUCGUAAGGAAGACCAGUGGCGAAGGCGGGUCUCUGGACAGUUCCUGACGCUGAGGCGCGAAAGCCAGGGGAGCAAACGGG
RNAcentral lists this ribosomal RNA (253 nucleotides) under uncultured bacterium. RNAcentral describes it as "partial 16S ribosomal RNA". It matches the Rfam family "Bacterial small subunit ribosomal RNA", at positions 524 to 776 of the family's 1533-position model. The record is from RNAcentral.